UCCGCCACUGGCGCUAUCCUCAAAUGGGUUCCUAUUCGACACGAAUUUGAAUUAUUCGAACUCCAAUACAAAUACUGAACAAUAGAUGGUGGAAAGAAAAAGAAAGAUUCCUAUUUUCAAUGUGUUAGAAACUUGCCCAAUGCCUACGGAUGGCAAUGGAGCGGGGCGGGAGUGGAGCGGGGCAGGUUAUGGAGUUCGUGGGGCGGGGCG
RNAcentral lists this long non-coding RNA (210 nucleotides) under Solanum tuberosum (potato). RNAcentral describes it as "long non-coding RNA (STUB_LNC006454)". The record is from RNAcentral. Lineage: Eukaryota; Viridiplantae; Streptophyta; Magnoliopsida; Solanales; Solanaceae.